This 497-nucleotide ribosomal RNA is filed under the name uncultured bacterium. RNAcentral's name for it is "partial 16S ribosomal RNA". It matches the Rfam family "Bacterial small subunit ribosomal RNA", at positions 28 to 507 of the family's 1533-position model. The record is from RNAcentral.
GAUGAACGCUGGCGGCGUGCCUAAUACACGCAAGUCGAGCGAACGGACGAGAAGCUUGCUUCUCUGAUGUUAGCGGCGGACGGGUGAGUAACACGUGGAUAACCUACCUAUAAGACUGGGAUAACUUCGGGAAACCGGAGCUAAUACCGGAUAAUAUUUUGAACCGCAUGGUUCAAAAGUGAAAGACGGUCUUGCUGUCACUUAUAGAUGGAUCCGCGCUGCAUUAGCUAGUUGGUAAGGUAACGGCUUACCAAGGCAACGAUGCAUAGCCGACCUGAGAGGGUGAUCGGCCACACUGGAACUGAGACACGGUCCAGACUCCUACGGGAGGCAGCAGUAGGGAAUCUUCCGCAAUGGGCGAAAGCCUGACGGAGCAACGCCGCGUGAGGGAUGAAGGUCUUCGGAUCGUAAAACUCUGUUAUUAGGGAAGAACAUAUGUGUAAGUAACUGUGCACAUCUUGACGGUACCUAAUCAGAAAGCCACGGCUAACUACGUG